CUUUUUGAAAAUAAUUUAAGGUCUAACCUGCCCAAUGAGGAUUUAAAUGGCCGCGGUAUUUUGACCGUGCAAAGGUAGCAUAAUCAAUAGUUUUUUAAUUGAAAGCUGGAAUGAAAGGUUGAAUGAAAAAAUGACUGUCUCUGUUUAAUUUUUAUAGAAUUUUAUUUUUAAGUAAAAAAGCUUAAAUAAUAUUAGAAGACGAGAAGACCCUAUAGAGUUUUAUUAGUUUUUAAAAUAAUUUUUUUAGAAUUAAUAUUUUUUUUUUAAAAAUUAAUUUAAUUGGGGUGAUUAAAAAAUUAAUUAAACUUUUUUUUUGUCUAUACAUAAAUAUAUGGGUAAAUGAUCCUUAAUUAGAGAUUAAAAGAUGAAAUUACCUUAGGGAUAACAGCGUAAUUUUUUUAGAGAGUUCAAAUCGAAAAAAAAGAUUGCGACCUCGAUGUUGGAUUAAAAUAAAAUUUUGGUGUAGAAGCUAGA
RNAcentral lists this ribosomal RNA (474 nucleotides) under Polydrusus undatus. RNAcentral's name for it is "partial 16S ribosomal RNA". It matches the Rfam family "Bacterial large subunit ribosomal RNA", at positions 1829 to 2566 of the family's 2925-position model. The record is from RNAcentral. Lineage: Eukaryota; Metazoa; Arthropoda; Insecta; Coleoptera; Curculionidae.